Molecule: ribosomal RNA, 212 nt
Filed under: Malassezia pachydermatis
Lineage: Eukaryota; Fungi; Basidiomycota; Malasseziomycetes; Malasseziales; Malasseziaceae
Description: partial large subunit ribosomal RNA
Source: RNAcentral
ACGUGAAAUUGUCGAAAGGGAAGCGCUUGAAGUCAGCCAUGCUGCUUGAGACUCAGCCUUGCUUUUGCUUGGUGUAUUUCUCGGUAGCAAGCCAGCAUUGGUUUGAGUCGUCGGAGAAGGGUACGAGAAAUGUGGCAUCCUCGGAUGUGUUAUAGGCUUGUACUGGAUACGACGAUUUGGAUCAAGGAACGCAGUGUGCCUCUGGCGGGUCU